Molecule: long non-coding RNA, 383 nt
Filed under: Trifolium pratense (red clover)
Lineage: Eukaryota; Viridiplantae; Streptophyta; Magnoliopsida; Fabales; Fabaceae
Description: long non-coding RNA (TPRA_LNC006449)
Source: RNAcentral
CAAAAUAUAUUUAAGGAAACCACUCAACCUCCCUUGUGAAAGUUCCACUAAUUAGGAAAACUAAUCCCAUACGUUUUUCUCAACUUUGAGUGAUCCAACAACAAUGAAUUGUAGCUCAUAAGGGCUUAUUGCAAAUUAAAAGCACAUAGUGGGUGGCUAGUUUUCCAGAUGUUUUUACUUCUUCUUCUAUGAGCCUAAGCUAUUUUGGAUUAUAUGAACUUCAAGUAAGAAACUCGAGGAUUACCGUACAAUAUUGCUCUUGGAACUUCAAGAAUAGAAGAAAUGCAAGUGGAGCUUAAUGCAUUAAUUAUUUCUAUAAAGAGUAGUCACCUUUGUGGUAAGUAUGUACUUUUUCUCUCUUCACAUUUUUUAUAUGUGUGUGU